RNAcentral lists this ribosomal RNA (564 nucleotides) under Triticum aestivum (bread wheat). RNAcentral describes it as "partial small subunit ribosomal RNA". The record is from RNAcentral. Lineage: Eukaryota; Viridiplantae; Streptophyta; Magnoliopsida; Poales; Poaceae.
AUGGACAUCCCUGUUGCAUCCUUCCGAAGCACUAGCCCCUCUCAAGUUUAUAGGAAGUUGCUGAAAUCAAAGAGGAGCAGCAAAAGAUCGAUGAGGCUAUUAAAAUCAUGCAGGAUGUUGUUCAUUGAAGGGGUGCCACUUGGCUGGCAGCAGGAAGUAAGCGAUCAACAUCAUCAAGAUCCGCUUGAAGGACAACACCAUGGAAGAUGCUCAAUGACCAGAUCGUCGUCCUCUCCGAGAGGAGGGGCCAGCUCAAGCAGCCACCUCUUCACCACCACACGCCAGUCAGCGCACGAGGCAGCGGAACUGGAUUUGUCUUCGUCCAGGGAAGUGAAGUCGUCUGCUCCUGUGCGGUGCUGGGCCAACGACCUCCGCUUCUCUUCUCCAUGGACAAACUUCAAAAGGCAACAGCAAGCCAUAUCAAGGGAGGGGAUUGAAGUCACCCCACCUCAAAUCCAUGGGCGCCAUCCACAAGAACCGUGGCCAGGACAAGGAGGCGGACAUCUUCGCACUGCUUUUUGGCGGAGGGCGACGCAGAUUUGCGAGCCUUGUGGCGCAGGUUGA